UAAAUUAAAUAUAUUAUUAAAUAUAAAUAUAUUAUAUAUAUUAAUUUAAUUAUUAAUUAAUAUUAAUUAAUUUAA
RNAcentral lists this transfer RNA (75 nucleotides) under Aster spathulifolius. RNAcentral's name for it is "tRNA-Ile". The record is from RNAcentral. Lineage: Eukaryota; Viridiplantae; Streptophyta; Magnoliopsida; Asterales; Asteraceae.